This 26-nucleotide non-coding RNA is filed under the name Cricetulus griseus (Chinese hamster). Lineage: Eukaryota; Metazoa; Chordata; Mammalia; Rodentia; Cricetidae. The record is from RNAcentral.
AAUGUUUGAUCACUGUGAAUCAACCC